This is a long non-coding RNA of Fukomys damarensis (Damara mole-rat), 354 nucleotides long. NCBI's taxonomy places the organism in Eukaryota, Metazoa, Chordata, Mammalia, Rodentia, Bathyergidae. The record is from Ensembl.
AACCAGUCGGAGUUGCUGAAGGUGGUGCCAUAGGCUGUAUAUAAAGGAGCUUGAUUUCUCGCACGGGCUCCCAUUUUGUUCUGGCUUGCAAGGUGGGAGUGCGGUGGUGAGUCCUUCGGUCUGCAGGAACUUAGCGGCUUCUUCUACAAAGCAUGGAAAGCCAGUAGCUGACAGUGGAAGUAUUGGCUGGACUGGAUUGGAGCAAACAGACUUGAGGAGAGGCGCGGGCGUGAUAGAGCCGCUCAGGUGCUUUUGUUUCAGAUCAGAGUCUCCGGUCUAUACAGCAAUCAAACAGUACGACUUGAUUGGUAAGCUGUCCUGGAUUUUGGUAUUUCCCUCAGAUUGCUCUUUGAU